AGUCAUCUUCUUCAAGCUCUCAGGUUUGGGGUUGGGUUUGGUUUGUUUCUUUUUAAGCCCUGAGAAAUCCUCUUGGUUCGUGUUUGCAAUCCAGCCCUGCUGGGGUUGGUAUGGUCAAGAAGGCAGAGGAGCCUGAGUUAAUUAAAUCAACAGCUAAGAGUGGAGGUUACCCACAAAAGUGAACCUUGGUGCCCCUAAAACCACUGACCAGAGAAUGGCUGGAGAGGAAAAAAAAACAAAACCACAGUUGGAGUGAAAUGGAAAAAGAAUUCUUCAGCUCUAUAUCACUUCAGCCAGCCACAGGACAAGCUGGGAAAGUCGAUACAGGAGGUGCCUGGGGACCCGAUCCAACUCUCCCAGCCCUGUCGCCGCGGGAGAUGAACUCCAGCUGCCGCUUCAGGUCAAGAGCUGUGGUUUGCAACCAGUUAUGCUAAUGAAGCCUGUGGCAUGCCCAGCCUCAUCUGGCUCCAUGCCAGCACCAGAGGAGGAUUUGACCCACACCACUAAGAGCUUUCCCCAGCUAACCGACCCGGCAGUGGGACCAGCGAGUCCCUGCUGCCUCCCACCCAGCAGGCAGCCUGGAGGUCACAGACCCACAAGGCUGAAGGUCACAGGCAGGUUUUUCCAGUGCCCAAAACCCUCCACACAUCCUGAGCCACAUGGCUGGUGGGAUGGUUGUGUGGCCACUGGCUGGCAUGGAGCAGCUGUGCCCAUCUUGGCCUCAGUCCUCAAUGUGCUGUGGGUGGAAGGAGCUCCUGGGCUGAAGACCCCCACCCGGCACCGAGGCGUCUCCUGCGCAGGGCUGCCUCCCUCUACCCAGCACUGAAGGAAGAGCAAAGAGGCAGGAGGAGCCAUAUUUACAUCAUGAAGCCACAGCUCCCUCCAAUCCUGACAAAGGGCCUUGGGUUGAGCAGAAAAAUCCCACUACCAAGGAGGGGAAAUUGUGGUGGUACCAGCAGAACACUAAAGCAAUUAGCGGGCAGUGCUGCUGGGCUCCUCCGUCAGCCUCUGUGGUCACCCCCACUGAAUGAAACCCCAUCCCAGGGAAGACACAUCAGCUGUGACCUCCUCAUCCUUCACACUGGCCACAGGCACACCACAGUGGUGCCCAGAGUGGUUCAAGGCAUUAAGGAAAAUGACUUCUUGCAGGAGAAAGCCUAAAUGAGAAGGGAAAAAAAAAACACAAAGCGCAAACCCAACUGACCCAACCCAGCCAGGCUGCCGUGGGGGUGGGACUGUGGUUUCUCCUUCCCUGCUUGGGUUUGCAUUACUGGUGUUGGGGUGAAGUCUGCUCUUAAUGAGGCUUUUCAUUAGAGGCUUUCUGCCUUGGGAGAGAGUGGUGGCUGUGGGAGGCUUUUUGUUGCAGGCUGGGAUGGACUGGAGCGGGUUUGGGUUUGCCGUGGCGCCGCGGUGAGCGCUCCCGCUGCAGCCUGGGCCCCACCAGGGCAAGGUUUGGUCCCUUCCCUGCCUGCAAACACUUUGUGACCCCCUCCCUGGUCUCAUGGAAUGGCUCAGGUUGGAAGGGAGCUCAGACAUCAUCUGCUCCAGCCUCUCACCUCUCAACUAGAUUUGGCUGCUCAAGGCCAUGAACCCCUUCAGGCAGGAGGCAGCCACAGCCUCCCUGGACAGCCU
Molecule: long non-coding RNA, 1632 nt
Organism: Pogoniulus pusillus (Red-fronted tinkerbird)
Lineage: Eukaryota; Metazoa; Chordata; Aves; Piciformes; Lybiidae
Exons: 4
Source: RefSeq, a predicted model, not a curated record